AUUGAACGCUGGCGGCAGGCCUAACACAUGCAAGUCGAACGGUAGCACAGAGAGCUUGCUCUCGGGUGACGAGUGGCGGACGGGUGAGUAAUGUCUGGGAAACUGCCCGAUGGAGGGGGAUAACUACUGGAAACGGUAGCUAAUACCGCAUAACGUCGCAAGACCAAAGAGGGGGACCUUCGGGCCUCUUGCCAUCGGAUGUGCCCAGAUGGGAUUAGCUUGUGGGUGAGGUAACGGCUCACCUAGGCGACGAUCCCUAGCUGGUCUGAGAGGAUGACCAGCCACACUGGAACUGAGACACGGUCCAGACUCCUACGGGAGGCAGCAGUGGGGAAUAUUGCACAAUGGGCGCAAGCCUGAUGCAGCCAUGCCGCGUGUAUGAAGAAGGCCUUCGGGUUGUAAAGUACUUUCAGCGGGGAGGAAGGGAGUGAGGUUAAUAACCUCAUUCAUUGACGUUACCCGCAGAAGAAGCACCGGCUAACUCCGUGCCAGCAGCCGCGGUAAUACGGAGGGUGCGAGCGUUAAUCGGAAUUACUGGGCGUAAAGCGCACGCAGGCGGUCUGUCAAGUCGGAUGUGAAAUCCCCGGGCUCAACCUGGGAACUGCAUUCGAAACUGGCAGGCUGGAGUCUUGUAGAGGGGGGUAGAAUUCCAGGUGUAGCGGUGAAAUGCGUAGAGAUCUGGAGGAAUACCGGUGGCGAAGGCGGCCCCCUGGACAAAGACUGACGCUCAGGUGCGAAAGCGUGGGGAGCAAACAGGAUUAGAUACCCUGGUAGUCCACGCUGUAAACGAUGUCGACUUGGAGGUUGUUCCCUUGAGGAGUGGCUUCCGGAGCUAACGCGUUAAGUCGACCGCCUGGGGAGUACGGCCGCAAGGUUAAAACUCAAAUGAAUUGACGGGGGCCCGCACAAGCGGUGGAGCAUGUGGUUUAAUUCGAUGCAACGCGAAGAACCUUACCUACUCUUGACAUCCAGAGAACUUAGCAGAGAUGCUUUGGUGCCUUCGGGAACUCUGAGACAGGUGCUGCAUGGCUGUCGUCAGCUCGUGUUGUGAAAUGUUGGGUUAAGUCCCGCAACGAGCGCAACCCUUAUCCUUUGUUGCCAGCGAUUCGGUCGGGAACUCAAAGGAGACUGCCAGUGAUAAACUGGAGGAAGGUGGGGAUGACGUCAAGUCAUCAUGGCCCUUACGAGUAGGGCUACACACGUGCUACAAUGGCAUAUACAAAGAGAAGCGACCUCGCGAGAGCAAGCGGACCUCAUAAAGUAUGUCGUAGUCCGGAUUGGAGUCUGCAACUCGACUCCAUGAAGUCGGAAUCGCUAGUAAUCGUGGAUCAGAAUGCCACGGUGAGUACGUUCCCGGGCCU
RNAcentral lists this ribosomal RNA (1361 nucleotides) under uncultured bacterium. RNAcentral describes it as "bacterial SSU rRNA". It matches the Rfam family "Bacterial small subunit ribosomal RNA", at positions 28 to 1381 of the family's 1533-position model. The record is from RNAcentral.